Molecule: ribosomal RNA, 163 nt
Filed under: Pyrenochaeta sp.
Lineage: Eukaryota; Fungi; Ascomycota; Dothideomycetes; Pleosporales; Cucurbitariaceae
Description: partial large subunit ribosomal RNA
Rfam family: Eukaryotic large subunit ribosomal RNA
Source: RNAcentral
CGGCAUCAGCUCAAAUUUGAAAUCUGGCUCUUUCAGGGUCCGAGUUGUAAUUUGCAGAGGGAGCUUUCGAGUUGGCAGCGGUCUAAGUUCCUUGGAACAGGACGUCACAGAGGGUGAGAGCCCCGUCUGGUUGGAUGCCAAAUCUCUGUAAAGUUCCUUCAAC